AAAUGCGAUAAGUAAUGUGAAUUGCAGAAUUCAGUGAAUCAUCGAAUCUUUGAACGCACCUUGCGCUCCUUGGUAUUCCUUGGAGCAUGCCUGUUUGAGUAUCAUGAAAUCUUCAAAGUAAAUCUUUUGUUAACUCAAUUGGUUUCUACUUUGGUAUUGGAGGUCUUUGCAGCUUCACACCUGCUCCUCUUUGUUCAUUGGCUGGAUCUCAGUGUUAUGCUUGGUUCCACUCGGCGUGAUAAGUUAUCUAUCGCUGAGGACACUGUAAAAGGUGGCCAAGGUAAAUGCAGAUGAACCGCUUCUAAUAGUCCAUUGACUUGGACAAUACUUUUAUGAUCUGAUCUCAAAUCAGGUAGGACUACCCGCUGAACUUAAGC
RNAcentral lists this unclassified non-coding RNA (377 nucleotides) under plant metagenome. Its description in RNAcentral is "partial contains 5.8S ribosomal RNA, internal transcribed spacer 2, and large subunit ribosomal RNA". The stretch from base 1 to 104 matches the Rfam family "5.8S ribosomal RNA", at positions 51 to 154 of the family's 154-position model. The record is from RNAcentral.